Molecule: RNA transcript, 792 nt
Organism: Zea mays
Lineage: Eukaryota; Viridiplantae; Streptophyta; Magnoliopsida; Poales; Poaceae
Gene name: ZIM motif family protein
Exons: 4
Source: RefSeq, marked validated
UCCCAGCGAUGGACUAGUCCUUCGCGAGCAAGCCCUGCGUCGCCCCGGCGUUGAUGUCGUUCCGAUCGGCGGCGAGGGAGGAGCCUUCGUUCCCGCAGUUCUCCGCCUUCGACGGCACCAAGAACACAGCCCCUCGUAUGCUCACGCACCAGAGAUCGUUCGGCCCCGACAGCACGCAGUACGCUGCGCUGCACCGCGCGCAGAACGGGGCUAGAGUCGUUCCGGUCUCGUCGCCGUUCAGCCAGAGCAACCCGAUGUUCAGGGUCCAGAGCUCGCCCAGCCUUCCGAACAGUACCGCGUUCAAGCAGCCGCCUUUCGCCAUCAGCAACGCCGUGGCCAGUUCGACUGUGGGUUCCUAUGGCGGAACAAGGGAUGCGGUGAGGCCAAGGACGGCACAACUGACGAUCUUCUACUCCGGUUCUGUCAAUGUGUUCAACAACGUCUCAGCUGAGAAGGCUCAGGAGCUCAUGUUCUUAGCCAGCAGAGGAUCUGUUCGCUGCUCGCCUCGGCGGAUUACGACGGGCUCGUCGGGUCGCCAGCCUCUCUACGGUCGGCGAGGGGAAAGACGCUCGUGCCGUCCAAUCUUGACGAUCCGUUCUCGGCGGAGAUGGCGGGCGCCGCGGCAUCUCACUCUCCUCGGUACGCAGACCAGGGCGGCUCUGCUUUCUCGCCGACGUGGUUACAGCAGGGACCCGUGCGGUUAGUCGGAGCUCUGGCUGAACGGCGAUGCGCAGCGGUAACAGAGCUCGGGAGUGGCGCCAACGUGGUUACAACAGGGACAAAAUUGACUUU